GAUGAACGCUGGCGGCGUGCCUAAUACAUGCAAGUCGAGCGAACAGACGAGGAGCUUGCUCCUCUGACGUUAGCGGCGGACGGGUGAGUAACACGUGGAUAACCUACCUAUAAGACUGGGAUAACUUCGGGAAACCGGAGCUAAUACCGGAUAAUAUAUUGAACCGCAUGGUUCAAUAGUGAAAGACGGUUUUGCUGUCACUUAUAGAUGGAUCCGCUCCGCAUUAGCUAGUUGGUAAGGUAACGGCUUACCAAGGCGACGAUGGGUAGCCGGCCUGAGAGGGUGAUCGGCCACACUGGAACUGAGACACGGUCCAGACUCCUACGGGAGGCAGCAGUAGGGAAUCUUCCGCAAUGGGCGAAAGCCUGACGGAGCAACGCCGCGUGAGUGAUGAAGGUCUUCGGAUCGUAAAACUCUGUUAUUAGGGAAGAACAAAUGUGUAAGUAACUAUGCACGUCUUGACGGUACCUAAUCAGAAAGCCACGGCUAACUACGUG
Molecule: ribosomal RNA, 497 nt
Filed under: uncultured bacterium
Lineage: Bacteria
Description: partial 16S ribosomal RNA
Rfam family: Bacterial small subunit ribosomal RNA
Source: RNAcentral